Molecule: ribosomal RNA, 253 nt
Filed under: uncultured bacterium
Lineage: Bacteria
Description: partial 16S ribosomal RNA
Rfam family: Bacterial small subunit ribosomal RNA
Source: RNAcentral
UACGAAGGGGGCUAGCGUUGCUCGGAAUUACUGGGCGUAAAGGGCGCGUAGGCGGACAGUUUAGUCAGAGGUGAAAGCCCAGGGCUCAACCUUGGAAUUGCCUUUGAUACUGACUGUCUUGAGUUCGGGAGAGGUGAGUGGAAUGCCGAGUGUAGAGGUGAAAUUCGUAGAUAUUCGGCGGAACACCAGUGGCGAAGGCGACUCACUGGCCCGAUACUGACGCUGAGGCGCGAAAGCAUGGGGAGCAAACAGG